Long non-coding RNA from Ooceraea biroi (clonal raider ant), 1844 nucleotides. RefSeq lists it as uncharacterized. The record is from RefSeq and is a predicted model, not a curated record. NCBI's taxonomy places the organism in Eukaryota, Metazoa, Arthropoda, Insecta, Hymenoptera, Formicidae.
GUUUCUAAUAAUUAUACCUUUUAUCAUUUUCCCAUAAAAAAUAACUUUUUUAUGGGAAUUGCCAAAAUUCUUUUUAAGAACUUCCAUUUUAACCUGAGAGAAACCUUUUCACAGAGUUUUAUCAAAACUGGAAUACUUACUCAAAUUUCUAGUAAUUAUACCUUUUAUUAUUUUCCCUUAAAAAAUGACCUUCUUUAUGGGAGUCGCCAAAAUUCCUUUUAAAUACUUUCAUUUUAACCUAAGAGAAAGCGUUUUACAAAGUUUGAUCGAAAUCGGAGCCGUACCCUUUACGGAACUCCACCCAAAUCAUUUGCAAAUCAUUAUUGAAAAUGAUCAAAAUACUGUUCAAAUUUACAAGAAUCAAGAGACACGGUAUAGUGUCUCGCGCCAAGUAUAUGCGCAGCGCGAGACCGCACCGUGACUCUAUUACGCGAGUACGCGAGUACGCGAGUUGCGAGUAACCAAGAUUAUCAGAUCUCAAUACGGCUGAUCCGAUUAACUUCUAAGUAGGCUCAAUGGAAAGUUUGGGUUCGAUAUGUAUAAGAAAAGUGUUUUUAUUUUUCUCCUACGAGCUCUAGGAGCGGAGAUAUUGCAAUGCAUGCAAAGUUUUUCGAUCAAUAUAAAGAUUUUACGAUUAAGAUACUCCGUUUUCUCCGUCAUCGUCAAGUGUUGGCAAGGGGAGUCGGGGAAGGGGAGAAGAAAUGUGCUACAGAACGUUCUUCAUUGGCUAGAGACUUGGCCAAUCAAGGCACGAUAAUGUCUCGCGCCAUGUGUGAAUAUCGCCGUGGCACGAAAUGUUGCGAAUGCUCUUACUAUAUUUUGGUUAUGUUGAUUAGUUCGAUUAAUCAAUAUGCGGACACGUUUUACUGGUGCUGACGGGCAUCAUUUUUAAGGAUGAUGGUGGAAGAUUGCAUAACGUCAAAGGUGGAUGGAUGCAGAGAGGAAUUGUAAGACACGCAUAAGAUGCUCGAUACUAAUAAUCUGUGAAUACGUGUUACUGCUGCUGACGUUAAUCAUUUUUCCUUGUUUCGGCCUACAUAUAAGAAUGGUAACCUGACUGGAGGUACGUGCAUAAGUAUCAAAACGUAAAAUAUCUUUAUAUCUCCAUUCUUCCUUGUAACAUUUUGCAAACUAAUAACCUUUUAUUGCAUUUCUGUUCUUUUCUUGAUGGUGAGAAUGAAAGCGAAAGAUUGCAUGAUGUCAAAGUUGGAUGGAUUGUGAGAGGAAUGUAACGAGAAGCCACGCAUGAGAUGCUCGAUACUCUGUGGAUACGUAAUAAUCUGUGAAUACGUGUUACUGGUGCUGACGUUAAUCAUUUUUCCUUGUUUCGGCCUACAUAUAAGAAUGGUAACCUGACUGGAGCAUAUUCUUUGCUGUAUGGGCUGCUCUAAGCUACACUUCUCGACACAGCACUCUCUGCACUACUCGAAGAAAUGUCUGACUUACAAGCUUAAAGCAAACAAAAAGAUUUUCCUAAAUCAGUAAGUAAACCAUAAGUUACGACUAAUAUUGUGCAAUAUCUAUCUUGUGAUACUACUGAAGUAAUACAAUAAUGCUCGUUUAAUAAAUUCGUCAUUUCUUAUCAUCAGGUUUUCACGUAUAAUUCGCAUUCCGUUAUACUAAUUGAACAUCUUCGAUUGAGACGAAUUUUACGCGCAUCGAUUGUCGAAGGCGAAUGACUAUAUCGAUAAAACAUCGGACGUCUUUCAAGUGAGGGCUCCAAGUAAAAGUUGUAGCAAAGUACCAAUUACAAUUUUCAGCUCCAUCAUGACGAAUUAUUGACCUGUUAUGAGAAAACGCAUUAUAAUCUGCUUUGUACGCAACAAGAUAUUAUGAUCUCAAAA